RNAcentral lists this ribosomal RNA (449 nucleotides) under uncultured bacterium. Its description in RNAcentral is "partial 16S ribosomal RNA". It matches the Rfam family "Bacterial small subunit ribosomal RNA", at positions 29 to 523 of the family's 1533-position model. The record is from RNAcentral.
AAUGAACGCUGGCGGCAGGCCUAAAACAUGCAAGUCGAACGCUCUAGCAAUAGAGAGUGGCGCACGGGUGCGUAACACGUGGGAAUAUGCCUUUUGGUACGGAACAACGUUUGGAGACGAACGCUAAUACCGUAUGGUCCCUUCGGGGUAAAGAUUUAUGGCCAAAAGAUUAGCCCGUGCUGGAUUAGCUAGUUGGUGAGGUAAUGGCUCACCAAGGCGACUAUCCAUAGCUUGUCUGAGAGGACGAUCAGCCACACUGGGACUGAGACACGGCCCAGACUCCUACGGGAGGCAGCAGUUAGGAAUAUUGGACAAUGGGCGCAAGCCUGAUCCAGCCAUGCCGCGUGAGUGAUGAAGGCCUUCGGGUUGUAAAGCUCUUUAGCCGAGGAUUAUAAUGACUGUAGUCGGAGAAUAAGCCCCGGCUAACUUCGUGCCAGCCGCCGCGGUAA